RNAcentral lists this non-coding RNA (101 nucleotides) under Bulleidia extructa. RNAcentral's name for it is "Guanine sequence". It matches the Rfam family "Purine riboswitch aptamer". Rfam says of the family: Riboswitches are metabolite binding domains within certain messenger RNAs that serve as precision sensors for their corresponding targets. RNAcentral also lists the same sequence under 1 other name. Lineage: Bacteria; Bacillati; Bacillota; Erysipelotrichia; Erysipelotrichales; Erysipelotrichaceae. The record is from RNAcentral.
UGAUAAAGUAAAUUAAUCGCUGGUUUAAUACCCAUAAUUUGGUUGGGUAGUUUCUACCGGGUCACCUAAUGAUCCGACAAUUAAGCGAAAACAUAGUUUUC